Molecule: long non-coding RNA, 1691 nt
Organism: Oreochromis niloticus (Nile tilapia)
Lineage: Eukaryota; Metazoa; Chordata; Actinopteri; Cichliformes; Cichlidae
Exons: 2
Source: RefSeq, a predicted model, not a curated record
CCUGCUGGCCCGGAAUUCAACAGCGCUUCAGACUGUGACCGUGAGGCUUUUAGGUUGUUGGCUUACUUAAGGUAGACCAGGUUAUAAUUGUGAGUUGUUUAACUUGUGCUACUUUAGGCUUUUUUAAAUAUACUGCACUUGUUACUCUAUUGUAUUUACUAUGUAUAACUAUAGCUUUGAUUCAAUGUAAAGUUUUGUCUUGCCAUUUUAUUAUAUACACCUUGCUAGUACCAGUUUGGGUCUCUUUUUUGCUUUUUGAAUUGCCUUAAUUCUUCAUGGCAUAGAUUUAGCAAUGUGCUCCAAACAUUCCCCAGAGAUUCUGGUUCAAAUUGACAUAAUAGCAUCACAAAGUUGCUGCAGAUUUGUCAGCUACAGAUUCAUGACGUGAAUCUCCAUCUUUGCUUCCACCACAACCCAAAUUGCUCUACUCGGAUUGAGAGCUGAGGACUGUGGAGGCCAUUUGAAUACAGUGAACUCAUUGUCAUAUCCAAAAAACAGUUUGAGAUGAUCUGAGCUUUGCCACAUGAUGUAUUAUCCAGCUGGGUACACAAAUAAGGGAUUGACACGGCAUUAAUGGAUGGACACGGACAGCAACACAAGCAACCUAGACAGGUAGGGUUGGCAUUCAAACAAUGGCAGGCAAUAUUUUCCCAGUUGUCUGUUGUCCAGUUUUGGUGAGCCCGUGAAAACUGUAUCCUCAGUUUCCCAUCCUUAGCUGACAGGAGAGGCACCUGUUGUGGUCUUCUGCUGCUGUAGCCCAUCUGCUUCAAGACCUGAUGUCUGGUGCUACUCUGCAUACCUUGGUUGCAAUGAGUGGUUAUUUGAGUUGCUGUCAGCUUCAACUCAAAGCUUGAUCACACAGCCUUCUUUACUGCCUGGUCUCUGUCACGGUCUGUUAACAAGACGCCGACGAUUUUGCAACACUUUGUGCUGAAGCCAAUAAGUGUUGAUGCAGAGCUGGAUCGUGUUUCUAAUCGCGAGUAAUUGUUGCACAAUAUGCGAUUGGUUUAAUGUUGAGGACGUACUCUUUAACUUUUCAUUUAUUGCUCAGUAAUUAUCUUUACUGUGCAGCAUACAGCAAUUGGAACUGUUUAUUUUACAGCUCACAGUCACAAGAAGCUUGAUAAGAAGUUUGAGGACACACUUAUACUCUGAUAACAUAGUCUUUAAUAUUAACCUCAUGUAGUUGUAUGCCAUUUCUUGAUUAUAGCACUCAGUGGCAUUACUGUUGUGAAAGAAGAGAUACAGCAUCUGCAAAAAAAAAAAAAAAAAAAAAAAAAAGCUGCUGUCUUAGCCCAGAGAUCACAGUGUGCAUGUUAGCACAUGUAAACUGAAGGGUGAGUUCUUUUCCCUGGAACGGUUUAUAGAUGUGUGUUGAAACUGGCUCGCGGACAUGACACAUAACAACAGCAGCAGCAUUAACACUGUCGUCAUCAUCGGUUUUAUUUGUGCACAGAGUUUGGUCUACAACACAAUUCCUAGCACCAAUACUGAAAUCAUGUGGACCCAAAACCAUUUUUUAAAAAAGGAAAAGAAACAAAAAGGACCAUAAAUACAUAAAAGGGCUACAUGGGUUUUACAAAUUAAGAGUGAAAUUGCAGAAAAUGGAUGGCAUGUAGAAAAUAUCUUUUACAAAGUUGUUUGUUUUUAUUAUUUUUUUUUACUUAUUUGAUGUUCUUCUUGGCAUUUUA